AAGAUCAUACUUCACAGGAUCAUUUCUGUAGUAUGCAUCGUCCCCUCCAGGUGCAAAUCUGGAGUCGUCAUCGGCCACGAUGAUGAGACUUGUUCAUUCACCUGAGCGUGAGAUGGCUAGUUAUCUAUCGCUCCGCGGUAAUGAUAAUCUAGCAACGAUGAUCGCUUACGGUUCGCCGGAUGGUGGGUGAACAGUCUGAGUGGU
Molecule: small nucleolar RNA, 204 nt
Organism: Rhopalosiphum maidis (corn leaf aphid)
Lineage: Eukaryota; Metazoa; Arthropoda; Insecta; Hemiptera; Aphididae
Product: small nucleolar RNA U3
Exons: 1
Source: RefSeq, a predicted model, not a curated record